RNAcentral lists this transfer RNA (77 nucleotides) under Clostridia bacterium. RNAcentral's name for it is "tRNA-Val". It matches the Rfam family "tRNA". Rfam says of the family: Transfer RNA (tRNA) molecules are approximately 80 nucleotides in length. Their secondary structure includes four short double-helical elements and three loops (D, anti-codon, and T loops). Lineage: Bacteria; Bacillati; Bacillota; Clostridia. The record is from RNAcentral.
GGAGGCAUAGCUCAGCCGGUUAGAGCGCUCGCUUCACAUGCGAGAGGUCAUGGGUUCGAGUCCCUUUGCCUCCACCA